Molecule: long non-coding RNA, 1565 nt
Filed under: Macaca fascicularis (crab-eating macaque)
Lineage: Eukaryota; Metazoa; Chordata; Mammalia; Primates; Cercopithecidae
Description: lncRNA (ENSMFAG00000056771.1)
Source: RNAcentral
UUUUUUUUUGAGACGGAGUCUCGCUCUGCUGCCCAGGCUGGAGUGCAGUGGCACGAUCUUGGCUCACUGCAACCUCUACCUCCCGCGUUCAAGCGAUUCUCCUGUGUUAGCCUCUUGAGUAGCUGGGACUACAGGCACCUGCCACCACGCCCAGCUAAUUUUUGUAUUUUUAGUAGAGACAGGGUUUCACCAUGUUGGCCAGGCUAGUCUCAAUCUCCUGACUUUGUGAUCCACUCACCUCGGUUUCCCAAAGUGCUGGGAUUACAGGCAUGAGCCACCACAUCCAGCCUAGCUCCUGGCUAUUUCAUCCUGCAGCUUCAUCCACAGGAGAGAGGCCCUCCACCCCCGCUCUCCUCCAGUCGCCAUCCGAAAUCCUCAGAAGGAGCCAUUGGUCCACCUUGUAAUACGGCUGCUUCUACUGCAGUCCCUUGAUGGGGGUGAAGGUGCAGCAUGACAUGACAGUCCCAAAAGAAGGGAACUGCUGCAAAGGGCCAGAAUAAGUGAGAUUUAUCACCUCAUCUUGGUUCUCAGUUCCACCAAUCCCAGCCCCAUCUAGCAAAGCAAGAAUUCCCCUGUUGUGUCCCAGCUAUGCCCCAAGAUGAAGGCUACAGUCUGUUUUCCACAAGCCACUUUUGGAAUCCUUACCAAGUAUUGGCUUGCAAUACAAAGGAUCCCUUUUCUAUUACUAUGUAACUAAAAAAAAAAAAAUUGAACUGCCCAAUCUGAAGAGUCCCUGUGUCUUAGAAAAAGGCUUUGUUCUGUAUUCUGGAUGAGGCCAAUCCUCAACAAAAGCCAAUUUAACAGAGAAGUUAACUUCACAGGUUCUGGAGUUAAUUUAGGGAUGAGUUCAAAUCCCUGCUCCAACAAUUAUAGGUGUAUGACACACAGCCUCGGCUUUACUCUCUAUAAAUGAAGAUAACUGAUAGUCACUUCCUGAUGUUGGUGUGAGGAUAAUUUUGGGCAAUGCAUGAAUAGCACUUAACAUGGUACCUGGGACACAAGAGGCCUUUAAUGGCACUGGAUAGACUUGGUCUUCAGUGAUGUCCUCUGUUUUUUUCUGCCGACUUCCCCCUCCUGCUAUUCCCCAGGGAAUCCAAGGCUCUGCCUCCAGGAACAGAUGUUUCCCACCUGUUCCUCUUCCAUAUGGCUUCACAAGGGAUCUUCAUGAAACAUACACUCCCGCCCCAAUCUAAGACCCUUCAUGUCUCGUUAAAACAGUGAAGAUAAAGUUAAACUCCCCUAGAGUGGUCCCCAGGGCUAUUUUCUUUUUCUUUUUUUUUUUUUUAAGACGGAGUUUUGCUCUGUCGCCCAGGCUGGAGUGCAGUGGCUGGAUCUCGGCUCACUGCAAGCUCCGCCUCCCGGAUUCAUGCCAUUCUCCUGCCUCAGCCUCCUGAGUAGCUGGGACUACAGGCGCCCGCCACCUCGCCCGGCUAGUUUUUUUGUUUGUUUGUUUGUUUUGUAUUUUUUAGUAGAGACAGGGUUUCACCGUGUUAGCUAGGAUGGUCUCGAUCUCCUGACCUCGUGAUCUGCCCGUCUCGGCCUCCCAAAGUGCUAAAAUUACAGGC